UCGUCACACUAUCAUUAACUGAAUCCAUAGGUUAAUGAGGCGAACCGGGGGAACUGAAACAUCUAAGUACCCCGAGGAAAAGAAAUCAACCGAGAUUCCCCCAGUAGCGGCGAGCGAACGGGGAGGAGCCCAGAGCCUGAAUCAGCAUGUGUGUUAGUGGAAGCGUCUGGAAAGGCGCGCGAUACAGGGUGACAGCCCCGUACACAAAAGCGCAUGUGCUGUGAGCUCGAUGAGUAGGGCGGGACACGUGGUAUCCUGUCUGAAUAUGGGGGGACCAUCCUCCAAGGCUAAAUACUCCUGACUGACCGAUAGUGAACCAGUACCGUGAGGGAAAGGCGAAAAGAACCCCGGCGAGGGGAGUGAAAAAGAACCUGAAACCGUGUACGUACAAGCAGUGGGAGCACAGGUUUACCUGUGUGACUGCGUACCUUUUGUAUAAUGGGUCAGCGACUUAUAUUCUGUAGCAAGGUUAACCGWAUAGGGGAGCCGKAGGGAAACCGAGUCUUAAYYGGGCGUUAAGUUGCAGGGUAUAGACCCGAAACCCGGUGAUCUAGCCAUGGGCAGGUUGAAGGUUGGGUAACACUAACUGGAGGACCGAACCGACUAAUGUUGAAAAAUUAGCGGAUGACCUGUGGCUGGGGGUGAAAGGCCAAUCAAACCGGGAGAUAGCUGGUUCUCCCCGAAAGCUAUUUAGGUAGCGCCUCGUGAAUUCAUCUCCGGGGGUAGAGCACUGUUUCGGCUAGGGGGCCAUCCCGGCUU
This 759-nucleotide ribosomal RNA is filed under the name Salmonella enterica. RNAcentral's name for it is "partial 23S ribosomal RNA". The record is from RNAcentral. Lineage: Bacteria; Pseudomonadati; Pseudomonadota; Gammaproteobacteria; Enterobacterales; Enterobacteriaceae.